UGAGAGGGAGAGAGAGAAGAGGUGGUGUAGCAGGGCCGGACCGCCGUCCUCUUCCACUCCAUCAACAGGCUUUCUCAACAGCAGGCUGCACCACCGCUCGAAAGCCAGCGGUCUUCUUCCACUCCAUCAACACAAUUUCAGCGGCAGGGAGUGCUUGCCGUAGUGGAAACGAAGCAAGAACUGGAUGGAGCUCAGGAUUUUGCUACUACCUUGCUAAUAGCUUUGUGAGGCAUGUCACCGUUAGCAAGUGCAAGAAGAAAGCACCGAGGAAAAUGCACAAAUACAAGAGGCAGAAGCGUGUCCUACUCAAUGAUCUCUUCGGUGAACUUAUCAAAAUGCUAGAUGAGUUAAAUAGGUGUGCAUCAAUCACUAGCCCCCUCGACACCUUAUAGAUUACGUCACAGCUAGCAUUGCUUCAGUGAAGCUGUCUCUUAAUUUGGGGGGUCGUUUCCUUUUCCAUGUGGUUAUUUGGAAUGUCAGAGUUGAGCGUGGGUAUGUAUGAAUCUGGGUCAUGUUGUUACUAUCCAUGUCCAAUUGUCCAAGUCAUGCUUUUGGGGUGAAUACUGGGGUUCAAUAUGUGUCAUGGAUUUCUUUAGUAGAUCCCAAUGAAUGUUUAUGCCGCUGAAAACGUGGAUGACCUCAUUGACAAUUCAUUACAUUGUGCAUACUUGUCAGCAUAUAAAACUGUGUAGUACCUGCAUCCAUUAAUUCCAAUCUUUUUCUAAUCCAUCUGUCUCAGCCAUGCAUCUUGCAUCAAACUGUAUGUGCCUUGGAGUAUAUUGCUUCUUAUAUUGCACCCAUUAUUAGUGAAGAAAUUGCGAAAUGCUUACUAUGCAUGGUGAUUAUUUAAUCAGAGUAACAUCUGACAUGAAAAGGCACUUCAAAUCAGGGCUAAUUUUCAAGCCUGAAUACCUUUUACUUAGAACAAAGUACUGGUACAUCUUCUCUAUUUUUAAAUGUAGCCAUCCCACUCUCCCUCGAAGCCCCGCCCCCCUGCUACAUUUUCAUGGUCACCGCCCUAGGAACGGCUACAAGAUGAAGUGACGCACAAGGUUUCUUCUCGCCUUCUUCUGGUUUUUCUCUUUGAUAUCCAUUUGUUGCCUUGGGUAUUUCUUGAUUCCUUCUCUGGUGUGUGUAUGUGUGUGUGUGUGCAUGUGUGUGUGUGUGUGUGUGUGUGUGUGUGUGGAAGGUCAUGCGCCUUUGCGCCGGGUGGGAGCAUCUACUGCACUAAUAGAAUGCCAAGCAUAGGAAGAGGCUCCCCAAGAUGAUAUAUGCUUCUUCAGUUUACACACAUUUUUUAGAACUUUUUUCAUCCAAUGAUAAUUCAUUACUGCUUGAACUCUCCAUGGUCAUACAAUUUGGUUGGUGUCAUGUUCUGAAUGCAUGGUGAUAUUGAGCACGUACAAGGCUUUCCGAUUCAACCGCAAUUUCCAGGGUAGUUGUUCUAGCAGGAUAUUGUAUUUGUUACGGAAAACACGGAUGAGUAAUUACAUGAUAUAUUAUUAAUAUUAAACUGUGUUGUUUCUCUGAAACUAACUUGGUAUUUCAGCUGUGGAAACUGAUGUUCUAACCUUAUUUCCAUAGAUGAAUCUUUGUUGUCUUUUUCAGAAAGGGAAUGUCUGGUAUAUCUUUCUUUGUGGAUUUAUUCAAUGAGUUUUCUACAUUGGGCUGCAUUGUUAAGAAAGAGUUUGAUGAUGCCACAAGAGCAAGAAUUAAAAGUCGUUUGUAGAACCAUGUUUCCUCAUGGCAGGAGGCGAGCAAUACUUUACUAUUACAAUGUUCAUUUUCAAUACAAUCAGAAGUAUGAGACUGAUUGUCAAUUGCGCGUUCAUGCAGGUUGCGCGUUCAUGCAGUACUUUACCCAUGAAAUAGAAGAGUUGUGCAGGCGUGUGAUUCAAGUUCUUCGACGAAAUGGACCCAACUCAUUCAGUGAAAAAAUUUCAAGGUUCUCUUUCGGAACUGGUUUGAGCUUCUAUAAGUUCAGUUUGAAGAACAGUGUCACAGAAUAAGGAAUCAUGAAAAUAAUGAGGUAACAUCAGAGGGUGAGUGUUGCAAAAAAGAUUGACGACUGGAGCUAAAAACAGGCAAGAGAAUGUACAGAAAAGCCUGACUUUAGAUUUAGCCAGUAGAGCAUGUGCCCUUCGCAUAGGGAUAAUAACUUUUAGUAAAACAGCAGCACCGGUUUGAUUCAGGGUAUACAAUAUCUUACAAACAGUCAAGGAUUCACCAACUCACCAGUCAGGCAUUAGAUAGAUAACAAAAAGGUAGGAAUAACAUGUGUGUAGAAGUACAUUCCUACUCAUCAUGAGGACAUGUGUCAAGAAGGAACUAGGGAUACCCAUAGCAUUUCCCCACUGUUUAAUCAAUCUUAGUGGAACUGGGUGGUCAUGUAAA
This is a long non-coding RNA of Aegilops tauschii subsp. strangulata, 2394 nucleotides long. RefSeq lists it as uncharacterized. NCBI's taxonomy places the organism in Eukaryota, Viridiplantae, Streptophyta, Magnoliopsida, Poales, Poaceae. The record is from RefSeq and is a predicted model, not a curated record.